AGCAACAAAUAAUAAAGGGGACAUGAGAUGAAGGGGAGAACCUUUCAGUCNUAAACGAAGGUGCUAUCUUUAUCGAAAAAAACAAAAUUUCAAGCCGGUCCUUUGAAAAAUAAAAUUUCAAGCUGGUCCAUAUAGGAAAAGAAGAACAAAAUUAUAAAUUGAAAUAAUCUACUAUGCCUUUAACAGCAUAAGCUAGCAAUAGGAACCAAGUAACUGCUAUCAAUAUCUGGAUUCCUUUUGAGAAUACCAUAUCUUCGUUGGAGAUCACUUCCCAGUUAACAAUGAUAAGCGAUAAAAUCAAGAUGCCCCAACCGAUGAAAAAUUAAUUAAUGAAAAGCAUAGCAUGAGGGUAAAUCGAAGAGAUAGAGUACCUACCUUUGAUUUAUUGGUUGAUACUUAGAUUCUUCCAUCGGAUUCACUUGAUUUUUUGUGUGCUGGAGUAGAGAGAUCUUUAAUAAAUAUUGUUUGAAGGCUUAACGGAAGAAGACCUAAAAGGUUCGUUAUUGAAUCAAUUUUAUUUUAUUUUUAUUUGUGUGAAAAAACAUUACAUUUCACGUAC
Molecule: long non-coding RNA, 559 nt
Filed under: Medicago truncatula (barrel medic)
Lineage: Eukaryota; Viridiplantae; Streptophyta; Magnoliopsida; Fabales; Fabaceae
Description: long non-coding RNA (MTRU_LNC005828)
Source: RNAcentral